Non-coding RNA from Vicia faba (fava bean), 369 nucleotides. The record is from the annotation of a GenBank genome assembly. Lineage: Eukaryota; Viridiplantae; Streptophyta; Magnoliopsida; Fabales; Fabaceae.
AUGCAUAGGGUUUAUGUUUGUGAUGCUCAGCUUAUUUUGAACAAAAGACCUCUUUCCCUCCCUUCUUCUCAAACGCGGUGCCGCUUAUCUCUUUCACUUAUCCUCUCCGUUCGACUCUUCAUCGCAUCCGUUCCGUCUUCAUCCCGCUGUUCCGUCUCUCAUGUCUUCUCUCUUGCUUCAUCACGAUUCUGUCCUCUUCCUCCCGCCGCGCGCUCAUCACCUUCGUAUCUCUGUCUUACUCUCGCUUUCAUCACUGCGCCACUGUUCUUUCGAUUUGAUCUCGAACUUAACACGAAUAUGAACCAAACAGUGGAAACGAUAGAGAAGAAGAAAACAUUAACGCUUACCUGUCGGAGAAUGAAGCGUUGA